This 123-nucleotide ribosomal RNA is filed under the name Danio rerio (zebrafish). The record is from RNAcentral. Lineage: Eukaryota; Metazoa; Chordata; Actinopteri; Cypriniformes; Danionidae.
AGCCACAGCCGUAUGACCUGAAGUGAGUAACCCAAGACCUGUUACUCACUGAAGCUAAGCAGGGCUGAGGCUGGUCAGUGUCAGGAUGGGAGACCACAUGGGAAAACUAGGUUGCUGUUGGAA